This 463-nucleotide ribosomal RNA is filed under the name uncultured bacterium. Its description in RNAcentral is "bacterial SSU rRNA". It matches the Rfam family "Bacterial small subunit ribosomal RNA", at positions 337 to 797 of the family's 1533-position model. The record is from RNAcentral.
ACCUACGGGACGCAGCAGUGAGGAAUAUUGGACAAUGGGAGCAAUCCUGAUCCAGCCAUGCCGCGUGCAGGAAGACGGUCCUAUGGAUUGUAAACUGCUUUUAUACAGGAAGAAAAAGCCCGACGAGUCGGGUGUUGACGGUACUGUAUGAAUAAGGAUCGGCUAACUCCGUGCCAGCAGCCGCGGUAAUACGGAGGAUCCGAGCGUUAUCCGGAAUUAUUGGGUUUAAAGGGUCCGUAGGCGGGAUAAUAAGUCAGUGGUGAAAGCUUGUGGCUCAACCAUAAAAUUGCCAUUGAUACUGUUAUUCUUGAGUUAUCGUGAAGUGGUUAGAAUGUGUAGUGUAGCGGUGAAAUGCAUAGAUAUUACACAGAAUACCAAUUGCGAAGGCAGAUCACUAACAAUGCACUGACGCUGAUGGACGAAAGCGUAGGUAGCGAACAGGAUUAGAUACCCGGGUAGUCGG